AACGAACGCUGGCGGCAUGCCUAACACAUGCAAGUCGAACGAGACCUUCGGGUCUAGUGGCGCACGGGUGCGUAACGCGUGGGAACCUGCCCUUAGGUUCGGAAUAACUCCCCGAAAGGGGUGCUAAUACCGGAUAAUGUCUUCGGACCAAGGAUUUAUCGCCUUUGGAUGGGCCCGCGUUGGAUUAGCUAGUUGGUAGGGUAAAAGCCUACCAAGGCGACGAUCCAUAGCUGGUCUGAGAGGAUGAUCAGCCACACUGGGACUGAGACACGGCCCAGACUCCUACGGGAAGCAGCAGUGGGGAAUAUUGGACAAUGGGCGAAAGCCUGAUCCAGCAAUGCCGCGUGAGUGAUGAAGGCCUUAGGGUUGUAAAGCUCUUUUACCCGGGAUGAUAAUGACAGUACCGGGAGAAUAAGCUCCGGCUAACUCCGUG
RNAcentral lists this ribosomal RNA (433 nucleotides) under uncultured bacterium. RNAcentral describes it as "partial 16S ribosomal RNA". It matches the Rfam family "Bacterial small subunit ribosomal RNA", at positions 29 to 507 of the family's 1533-position model. The record is from RNAcentral.